AUCUUGUUUUAAGACUGAAUUUCUUAUUUUAAGUGUUCAACUGAACACUCUAAUCUUAUUUCUAGAUUUUAUUAUCUUAAUUCAAGAAUUAUCUUGCUGCAUGGACAGAUCAUUUCACUUGUUUUGAGUACCUUUACCUCAGAUCUAGUGAUUUUAUCUUGUUUAGACACUCCUUUUUUGCAGUGUGAUGGUGUGCAAUGAUGCCAUAUUUACCCAUGUUACGAGUGCAGAAUUCAAGAAUGAAAGUAGCAUGAUGCUUUCUGUGUUUGAUUAUACCUGUCUAAGUGUGUAACAUACAGUACGUCCAUCAAUAUGUGGAAUGUGGAUCUGUAAAUUCUUCCCCUGCGUUAAACGCAUUCAAAUGUGUGUGUGUGUGUGUGUGUGUGUGUGUGUGUGUGUGUGUGUGUGUGUGUGUGUAUGUGUGUGUGUGUGUGUGUGUGUGUGUGUGUGUGAAAAUCUGACACAAAGAGAGAGAAACCUGAACUUCUGAACUUGGCACCACUGCUGCUCAGCCAUGUCAAUCUGAUCACAUCUGACAGUGGAAAAUGUUAUCUCUUUCUCUCUCUCUCUCUCUCUCUCUCUCUUUCUCUCUCUCUCUCUCUCUCAAACACACAAACACCCUCUGAUAAUAUUUACAGUAAUAGUGCCUUAUCUCAACAGCCGUCUCAUCUCUUGACGUGGCUGGGUAUAGCAGGUGAAAACAUGUACCCCAGUAGGUCUCCGAUAGAGGCACAUUGCUAACUUUUUUUGUUUGUUUGUUUGUUUGUUUGUUUGUUUUGCCAAUGGCUAUAUUUAGGCCUCUUGUUUCAGAUGCUUUUGUUUUUGUGAUUUCUAUUGUAUUAAUAAUUGCACUAUUGUGUACUAUUGAUGUGCAAUAACUUUAUUUUUUUCUUUGUUCGAUUUCUUGACAACACAUUGCUUGGAUAGUCCGCCCAUAGUGACUAUCAUCUGUUAUGAUUCAAAUUCAGGGUGCAAAAUUGCUCUAAAAUGCAUAGUUCCAGUCCUUCAUUAAUAUUGGCUGAAUCAUGUUUGAUGAUGGGGUUGUAAAAUCCAGUAUGACCCUACACCUUGAUUGCAUUUCGUUCUAUAUUACAGGGCCACCAAAAAUUGAUACAAAAGUUAGAGCUGCUGCAUCUCGACGUUGACAUUAUGAUAGAGUCUCCUUGCUCCUCUGGUUGCGUGUCUUUUAAAGUUGUGGAGCUGAUAUGGUGGAAUGUGUUUGUGUGUGCGCCUGUCGGUGAAACAAGCUUUUCCUCGUAUCGAGACAUUUUGGUUGAGCACAUUGUUUCUGCAGCUCCACUUUUGAGGUCAUCACCAUGGUCAUCACGGAUAGGGCGGUUGUGUCUCAGCCUGGUCAUAUGAAACCACCUUUCGUGCCUGACCAGUGGAACACUGGCCUCUUUGACUGUUGUGAUGACUUUUCGUCAUGCUGCUACCAUUACUGGUGUUUCUGGUGCAUCGCCUGUAAGACUUCGGAAAAAUAUGGCGAGUGUCUCUGUAUGCCUUUGGUGGACUUCCUGGCUCUCGGAGGAAGUGUUCCAGCUUUCGCCAUGGCCAUGAGGUCCGACAUGCGCGAGCGCUACGGCAUUCGUGGCUCUAUGGUGGAAGACUUUAUGUUCUCGACCUGCUUCCCACCCUGCGUGUAUUUCCAGAUUUCAAGAGAGAUGAAGAUUCGCAAGCAGGCUGUAACUGUCGUCAAUACCCACCACCACAGACCGCACACCCAACGAUAAUCAUCCUCCCCCUGCUCCUCCUCCUCAUCAUCGUCAUCAUCAGUAUAGCAUUCAGUGGGAUUAACCUGAUUACCUUAAUUGCAAUCUUGAUAAAGUAAUGAGAAUCCACAGUAAUCAAUCUUCAAUUUUAAAAAAAUACUCUAUAAAAGUCACCUACACAUUUAUUUAUACAUUCAGCUGAUGUAUUUUUUUUUUAAAAAUCCAAAAUAAUGUAUAGCCUACUGUAGAUGCCAGUCUCCCCAGAGUAGCAUGGGUAGCCUUGCUCAAGGGCCCAGUGGAUUUGAACCUACGACUUUCCUACGUUCCUAACCAUGCUACUUAGCACCACCCCAGUCAUUCAUAGGUUGCUCUUGGCAUUGAAUUCUAUACAUUAACUACUAGUAUGGCGGCAGCCAAAUGCCAUAAUGUAGGUAGGUGAACCUGGAUUUGUCAGUUAAAGUUUUUUUUUUUUGCCGAAUCUAGUAGAGGGUGCCCGGUGAUAUCCCUUGGCCAAUUUUGUAUAUAGAGGUACCCUAGAUUCUGCAAAAACAAAACGACAAAACCAGGUCUGACCCCAUGGCUGCCUGAUACAAAUUGGAAUAAAAUGUGACAUUGAUAGUGGAUGUAUUGAUAUAAUAAGAACUAAAAGAUUUUUGUCAGACUAGUAUGGCAUUUUCGUCAUCAUUCCUUGGCAAAUUACUGUAACAUUGCUGGUUAUGUAAAAUGUUGUAACGUUGAGUUUCUGCAAUACCUUGAAAAUGACUGUUGAAAUUAAAGUCUUCUUUUUGUUCAAAUGAGCAAGAUGAACAAACAUCA
Molecule: RNA transcript, 2528 nt
Organism: Sardina pilchardus (European sardine)
Lineage: Eukaryota; Metazoa; Chordata; Actinopteri; Clupeiformes; Clupeidae
Gene name: cornifelin homolog B-like
Exons: 5
Source: RefSeq, a predicted model, not a curated record